ACAGCAGUAGCCACGGUAAUACGUAGGUGGCAAGCGUUGUCCGGAAUUAUUGGGCGUAAAGGGCUCGCAGGCGGUUUCUUAAGUCCGAUGUGAAAGCCCCCGGCUCAACCGGGGAGGGUCAUUGGAAACUGGGAAACUUGAGUGCAGAAGAGGAGAGUGGAAUUCCACGUGUAGCGGUGAAAUGCGUAGAGAUGUGGAGGAACACCAGUGGCGAAGGCGACUCUCUGGUCUGUAACUGACGCUGAGGAGCGAAAGCGUGGGGAGCGAACAGGAUUAGAUACCCCGGUAGUCCCUGUCUCUUAUAC
RNAcentral lists this ribosomal RNA (305 nucleotides) under uncultured bacterium. RNAcentral describes it as "partial 16S ribosomal RNA". It matches the Rfam family "Bacterial small subunit ribosomal RNA", at positions 505 to 807 of the family's 1533-position model. The record is from RNAcentral.